GAUGAACGCUAGCUACAGGCUUAACACAUGCAAGUCGAAGGGCAGCGGUAUCGAAAGCUUGCUUUCGGUAGCCGGCGACCGGCGCACGGGUGAGUAACGCGUAUCGAACCUGCCUCAUACUCGGGAAUAGCCUUGCGAAAGUAAGAUUAAUGCCCGGUGUUUUCAGAGUCCCGCAUGAGGCUUUGAACAAAGAUUUAUCGGUAUGAGAUGGCGAUGCGUCCCAUUAGCUUGUUGGCGGGGUAACGGCCCACCAAGGCAUCGAUGGGUAGGGGUUCUGAGAGGAAGGUCCCCCACAUUGGAACUGAGACACGGUCCAAACUCCUACGGGAGGCAGCAGUGAGGAAUAUUGGUCAAUGGGCGGAAGCCUGAACCAGCCAAGUAGCGUGCAGGAAGACGGCCCUCCGGGUUGUAAACUGCUUUUAGUUGGGAAUAAAACGGGGCUCGUGAGCCCCCUUGCAUGUACCAUCAGAAAAAGGACCGGCUAAUUCCGUG
RNAcentral lists this ribosomal RNA (492 nucleotides) under uncultured bacterium. RNAcentral describes it as "partial 16S ribosomal RNA". It matches the Rfam family "Bacterial small subunit ribosomal RNA", at positions 28 to 507 of the family's 1533-position model. The record is from RNAcentral.